RNAcentral lists this ribosomal RNA (467 nucleotides) under uncultured bacterium. RNAcentral's name for it is "partial 16S ribosomal RNA". It matches the Rfam family "Bacterial small subunit ribosomal RNA", at positions 28 to 506 of the family's 1533-position model. The record is from RNAcentral.
GACGAACGCUGGCGGCGUGCUUAACACAUGCAAGUCGAACGGGAAGACCCUGCUUUGGGGGGGUGCUCGAGUGGCGAACGGGGGAGUAAGACGUUAGUAACCUGCCCGCUACUGUGUGAUAACUUGAGGAAACUGGGGCUAAGACCGGAUAGGAGCUCGUGCUGCGGUGGGGGGGGGGGAAAGUUUCGGCGGUUGGGGAUGGACUCGCGGCUUAUGAGCUUGUUGGUGGGGUAGUGGCUUACCAAGGCUUUGACGGGUAGCCGGCCUGAGAGGGUGACCGGCCACAUUGGGACUGAGAUACGGCCGAGAGCACUACGGGGGGCAGCAGUGGGGAAUAUUGCAUAACGGGGGGAAGCCGGAUGAAGCACCGCCGCGUGCGGGAUGUCGGCCUUCGGGUUGUAAGGCGAUUUCGCCUGUGUCGAAGCGUGAGUGAGGGGAAUGGGUAAGGAAGCACCGGCUAAUUCGGU